AUACGAAGGUCCCGAGCGUUAUUCGGAAUCACUGGGCGUAAAGAGUAUGUAGGCGGUUUGGUAAGUCAGGUGUGAAAUCCCGGAGCUCAACUUCGGAACUGCAUCCGAUACUGCCAGACUAGAGUAAUGGAGAGGCAGGUGGAAUUCUCGGUGUAGCAGUGAAAUGCGUGGACAUCGAGAGGAAGACCAAUGGCGAAGGCAGCCUGCUGGACAUUUACUGACGCUGAGGUACGAAGGCUAGGGGAGCGAAAGGGAUUAGAAACCCCAGUAGUCC
RNAcentral lists this ribosomal RNA (274 nucleotides) under uncultured bacterium. Its description in RNAcentral is "partial 16S ribosomal RNA". It matches the Rfam family "Bacterial small subunit ribosomal RNA", at positions 523 to 796 of the family's 1533-position model. The record is from RNAcentral.